RNAcentral lists this ribosomal RNA (253 nucleotides) under uncultured bacterium. RNAcentral's name for it is "partial 16S ribosomal RNA". It matches the Rfam family "Bacterial small subunit ribosomal RNA", at positions 524 to 776 of the family's 1533-position model. The record is from RNAcentral.
UACGGAGGGUGCAAGCGUUAUCCGGAUUCACUGGGUUUAAAGGGUGCGUAGGCUGAUAUGUAAGUCCGUGGUGAAAUCUCUGGGCUUAACCCGGAAACUGCCAUGGAUACUAUGUGUCUUGAAUGUUGUUGAGGUGAGCGGAAUAUGUCAUGUAGCGGUGAAAUGCUUAGAUAUGACAUAGAACACCAAUUGCGAAGGCAGCUCACUAAGCAAAUAUUGACGCUGAGGCACGAAAGCGUGGGGAUCAAACAGG